GCCAGGUGUGGUGGUGCACACCUGUAAUCCCAGCUACUAGGGAGGCUGAGGCAGAAGAAUCGCUUGAACCCAGGAGGUGGAGGUUGCAGUGAGCCGAGAUUGCUAAACUGCACUCCAGCCUGGGUGACAGAGCGAGACUCCGUCUCAA
Molecule: unclassified non-coding RNA, 148 nt
Organism: Macaca fascicularis (crab-eating macaque)
Lineage: Eukaryota; Metazoa; Chordata; Mammalia; Primates; Cercopithecidae
Rfam family: Metazoan signal recognition particle RNA
About the family: The signal recognition particle (SRP) is a universally conserved ribonucleoprotein. It is involved in the co-translational targeting of proteins to membranes.
Source: Ensembl